GGAUAGGUGCCAGAGCGGUCGAAUGGGAUGGUCCUGAAAACCAUUGAACCCUCCGGGUUCCGCGAGUUCGAAUCUCGCCCUAUCCG
Molecule: transfer RNA, 86 nt
Filed under: Aeriscardovia sp.
Lineage: Bacteria; Bacillati; Actinomycetota; Actinomycetes; Bifidobacteriales; Bifidobacteriaceae
Description: tRNA-Ser
Rfam family: tRNA
About the family: Transfer RNA (tRNA) molecules are approximately 80 nucleotides in length. Their secondary structure includes four short double-helical elements and three loops (D, anti-codon, and T loops). Further hydrogen bonds mediate the characteristic L-shaped molecular structure. tRNAs have two regions of fundamental functional importance: the anti-codon, which is responsible for specific mRNA codon recognition, and the 3' end, to which the tRNAs corresponding amino acid is attached (by aminoacyl-tRNA synthetases). tRNAs cope with the degeneracy of the genetic code in two manners: having more than one tRNA (with a specific anti-codon) for a particular amino acid; and 'wobble' base-pairing, i.e. permitting non-standard base-pairing at the 3rd anti-codon position.
Source: RNAcentral